GGGGAAUAUUGGACAAUGGGCGCAAGCCUGAUCCAGCCAUGCCGCGUGAGUGAUGAAGGCCUUAGGGUUGUAAAGCUCUUUCAGUGGGGAAGAUAAUGACGGUACCCACAGAAGAAGCCCCGGCUAACUUCGUGCCAGCAGCCGCGGUAAUACGAAGGGGGCUAGCGUUGUUCGGAUUUACUGGGCGUAAAGCGCACGUAGGCGGAUUGGUCAGUUAGGGGUGAAAUCCCAGAGCUCAACUCUGGAACUGCCUCUAAUACUGCCAGUCUCGAGUCCGGAAGAGGUAAGUGGAACUCCUAGUGUAGAGGUGGAAUUCGUAGAUAUUAGGAAGAACACCAGUGGCGAAGGCGGCUUACUGGUCCGGCACUGACGCUGAGGUGCGAAAGCGUGGGGAGCAAAC
This 400-nucleotide ribosomal RNA is filed under the name uncultured bacterium. RNAcentral describes it as "bacterial SSU rRNA". It matches the Rfam family "Bacterial small subunit ribosomal RNA", at positions 356 to 773 of the family's 1533-position model. The record is from RNAcentral.